Molecule: ribosomal RNA, 498 nt
Filed under: uncultured bacterium
Lineage: Bacteria
Description: partial 16S ribosomal RNA
Rfam family: Bacterial small subunit ribosomal RNA
Source: RNAcentral
AUUGAACGCUGGCGGCAUGCCUUACACAUGCAAGUCGAACGGUAACAGGUCUUCGGAUGCUGACGAGUGGCGAACGGGUGAGUAAUACAUCGGAACGUGCCUAGUAGUGGGGGAUAACUACUCGAAAGAGUGGCUAAUACCGCAUGAGAUCUACGGAUGAAAGCAGGGGUUCGCAAGACCUUGUGCUACUAGAGCGGCCGAUGGCAGAUUAGGUAGUUGGUGGGAUAAAAGCUUACCAAGCCGACGAUCUGUAGCUGGUCUGAGAGGACGAUCAGCCACACUGGGACUGAGACACGGCCCAGACUCCUACGGGAGGCAGCAGUGGGGAAUUUUGGACAAUGGGCGAAAGCCUGAUCCAGCAGUGCCGCGUGCAGGAUGAAGGCCUUCGGGUUGUAAACUGCUUUUGUACGGAACGAAAAGCCCCGGGUUAAUACCCUGGGGUCAUGACGGUACCGUAAGAAUAAGCACCGGCUAACUACGUGCCAGCCGCCGCUGUAA